Molecule: small nuclear RNA, 163 nt
Organism: Jaculus jaculus (lesser Egyptian jerboa)
Lineage: Eukaryota; Metazoa; Chordata; Mammalia; Rodentia; Dipodidae
Gene: U1
Rfam family: U1 spliceosomal RNA
About the family: U1 is a small nuclear RNA (snRNA) component of the spliceosome (involved in pre-mRNA splicing).
Source: Ensembl
AUACUUCUGUGGCAGCGGAGAUACCCUGAUCAUGAAGAUGGCUUUCCCAGGGUGAGGCUUACCCAUUGCAUUCCAUAUGUGUUGACUUACAAAAUUUUCCCAAGUUGGGAAAACUUGAUUGCGUAAUUUGUGGUAAUGGGAGAUUGUAUUCAUGCCCCUCCAG